GGUCUCCCACACUGGCUCCACGUGGGUCAACCAUAUAUCUGUGUGGACAUGUUCCCUAGGAACAUGUCUGCAGAGUUUGACCAGUUGUGCAUAUGGUCUUGGUUUCCUGGACUUGGUCCUCAUGAUUGGACCAGUUGUAUGGUCAGACUAGGUCUCCCAGACCCAUUGUGCAUGGGUUGACAGUUUUCCACACAGACUUUUUCUAUUGGACCAGGUAGUGGGGGUCUACCAGUUGUCUGUGAGGACUUGCUCUCCCAGACCUGGUCCGUGCGGGUUGACCAAUUGUCUGCACUGACUUGGCUUCCUGGACCCAUUCUGCUGCGGCUGACAAGUUGGCUGCACAGACUUGGUCUCCCAGACCCAGUCUGCACAGUCAAAAACUGUCCAUGUGAACUUUUUCCCCAGGACCAAGUUCAUGGAGGUUGACCAGUUUGUCCACAUGGUUUUGGUCUCUCAGACCCAGUCUACUGGUGUUGACCAACUGUCCUCGCAGACUUGGUAUACCAGACCCAGUCCGCACAGGUCAAACAGUUGUCUGAGUGGAAUAGGUUUCUCGGAACCAGUCCACGGAGGUCGACCAGUUGUCCUUGUGGUUAUGGUUUCAGUCCUGGUCUGCUUGGGUGGGCCAGUUGUCCACAUGUACUUGGUCUCACGCUACCAGUCUGCAGGGGUACACCAGUUAUCCGCAUGCACUUGAUCUCCCAGACCCUGUCUGCAUGGGUUGACAAGUUGUCCAUUUGCACUUAGUUUUCUGGACCAGAAGAGCAGGGAUCGACCAGCUGUCUAAACAGAACUUGUCUCUCAAACCCGGUCUGCUGGUGUCAACAAGUUAUCUGCGUGGGUUGAACAGUUAUCCAGGUGGACUUGGUCUUCCAGAAAUAGUCCACUGGGGUUAACCAGUCCUCCACGUGGUCUUGGACUCCUGGACCCACGUGGCAUGGGUCAACCAGAUGUCCAUGUGCACUUUUUCUCCAGCACCCAGUCUGCAGAAGUCGACCAGUUGUCCAUGUGUUAUUGGUCUCUUGGACCUGGUCCACAUGGAUCAACAAGUUGUCCAUGCAGAUUUGGUUUCAUGGACCCAGUCCAUGUGGGUCAACCAGUUGUCUGUGCAGUUGUGAUCUCUUUGACCCACUCCACCAGUGUCGACCAAUUGUCCUUGUGGACUUGGUCUCCCAGACCUGGUCCAAGCAAGUCAACCAGUUGUAUGUGCCAACUUGGCCCCCCUGGACCUGGUCUGCGUGGGUUGACCAGUUGUCCACACACACUUAGUUUCCCAAACCUGUUCCACUGAGGUCAACCAUUUGGCCACACAGACUUGGUCUCCCAGACCCAGUACAUGUGAGUCUACCAGAUGUCUGGUGGACUUGGUCUCCUGGAUCCAGUCCAUGGAGGUUGACAAGUUGAUCAUGUAAUAUUGGUCUUUUGGACAUGGGCCUCCAGGGUUCACCAGUUGUCUGGUCUGUGUGAGUCAACCAGUUAUCUGUGCUGAUGUGUCCUCCCAGACCCGUUCUGCCAGGGUCCACAAGUUGGCUGCUCUGCACCUGGUCUGCACCAGUCAAUGAGUUGUCCAUGUGGACUUUUUUUCCAGGACCUGAUCCAUGGAGGUUGACCAGUUGUCUGGGUGGUUUUGGUCUCUCAGACAAGGUCUGCUGGUGUCAACCAAUUGUCCUGGCCAACUUGGUAUCCUGGACCCGUUUCACAUGAUUCCACUGGUUGUCCUGGUAGACGCUGUCUCCCAGACCUGCUCUGCAUGGGUCGACCAGAUAUCUGUGCAGACAUUUUCCCCAGAACCCUGUCUGUGGAGGCUGACCAGUUGCCCUUGUGGACUUGGUAUCCCAUACCCAGUUCUCGUGUUUUGACCAGUUGUCUGGUCAAACUUGGUCUCCUAUUGGGAGGCAUGUUUCUGCAAUAUUUUCUUAGCCUCUUUGCUUCCAUUUUCUAUGCUGAAAACUCUAUCUUGUCCUGCUUUACUUUACCCCAUAUUCCUACUUGAAAAAUAGUCAUAGUGCUGGCAAAUGACUUGAGCUUAAAAACAGAGACCUAAAGGCAUAAGUUAUUCAUGUGGUCAGCUGAAUGAGGACAUAAUGUGUUGGUCUAGGCACACCAGACCUGCGCAGAUAGGCACGCCAUUUACAUAGCAUGAUAUGUCCUCUUAAGAAUAAGAGGAAGAAUAAGAGGAAGGAGUUCCUAUCGUGGCGCAGUGGUUAACGAAUCCGACUAGGAACCAUGAGGUUGCGGGUUCAAUCCCUGUGAUCCCUGGCCUUGCUCAGUGGGUUAAGGAUCCGGCAUUG
Molecule: long non-coding RNA, 2291 nt
Filed under: Sus scrofa (pig)
Lineage: Eukaryota; Metazoa; Chordata; Mammalia; Artiodactyla; Suidae
Description: lncRNA (ENSSSCG00015064588.1)
Source: RNAcentral